RNAcentral lists this long non-coding RNA (1355 nucleotides) under Sorghum bicolor (sorghum). RNAcentral's name for it is "long non-coding RNA (SBIC_LNC005306)". The record is from RNAcentral. Lineage: Eukaryota; Viridiplantae; Streptophyta; Magnoliopsida; Poales; Poaceae.
GACCGUCAACAAACUCCCCCAAGCUUACCCUUUGCUCGUCCCUGAGCAAAUAGCUAAACUCAGAUGGAUCAGGAGUUGCUUCGAUGUUUUCUUUCCUGAUAGGCACACAUGCUUUUACAUAAAAAUUCUUCCAGAUUAAAGUGAAGUGUUAUGGAGUUUAGAACCUGCACUUAAGUCUUAAGUAAUCGAAAGACAAAAUAGUUAAGUCAAGCACUAUCCCUCCUGUUUAUACUUCACCUUUGUUCCAGAGUUUUUCAUAGGUUUUCAAAAUAAAACUCAGAGUUUCCAGCAAUGAUUCUCUCAGGUCUCUCUAUAUGUGGUAUUUGUGGAUCCUUACCAUGAUAUCACUUGCCUAUAGCUAAUGGAUUAUUUAAGUGGAGCUCAUAGGAGUGAUAAACAGCUCAUACAUAUGUUGUCUAAUCGAGCCAUGGAUCCAAAGGAACUUAGCAUAUAAUUAAAUCAAGAUGUGCAUGUGUGAUGGAGUAAAUGAUAGUGAAAAUGCAUAAGUGAUAAUAAAACUUAGUUCUCAUUGCUCCUUAUAUUGCUAUCUCUCCUUCUCUUUGAUCUUUGCCUUGGGAGAACAUGGGCUAUCUCUUUUUCUUCUUUUUUUUUCAGGUGGGUAGUGGAUACCCCUAAUUCUACUGUCAGACACUUGUCCAUUUUUUCCGCUCAAGUGGGCAUCUUUGUACCCCUAAUUCUACUUCGGACACUUGUCCAUUUUUACCUCUCGUCUCACUCUUUUUCUUUCUUUUUCGAGGUUCCGGGCACUUGCCCCUUUUUUAUUUCCUCGUAUAUUUUUGCAUAACCCAUGCCUCUUCUGCAUUGAAUCUUUUUAGAGAGAGAGAAUAACAAUAUUUGGGACAGUGAGUGAUAAUAUAUUUUUAGCAAUUUUAAUGAUUGAUGAUGAAUGCUGUGGUAGAUGUAAGGGUCUACACAGCUCGAUCAAACUCAAUGUGAAUAUAGUAAAAGAUGUUAUAGCAAGUAUGGCUGUGGUAGGUAGUUUUGUUAUGCUAGGAACUCAUCAUAUGAUUUGUAAGUUUUUAAAAUAAAUCUCUAGAACUUAGUGUAGUAGGAACAAGAUAAACAGUAGCUCAACUUUAUAUCAUGCCUUUCUCUUACCUAGACUUUAGUGUUAUGCUUCCCAAAGAUAGUAAUUUCAGUUUUAGUAAUUCCUGGAAGAAUUCUAAUAUAAAAGCUAGGUACUUGUAAGUAAGCAAACAGAGCAACUGUUCAUCAUUUCCAUCAUGCAUAUUUUUGGUCUUUUUAUUUUUUCUAGAGAUUAAACUUAGUAGAAAAAUAAAACACACUUAUCUACACACUCUUUUUAUUUUGUUUUCAUGUUUAUAAAGUGCAGU